RNAcentral lists this ribosomal RNA (433 nucleotides) under uncultured bacterium. Its description in RNAcentral is "bacterial SSU rRNA". It matches the Rfam family "Bacterial small subunit ribosomal RNA", at positions 32 to 494 of the family's 1533-position model. The record is from RNAcentral.
AAUCAACGCUGGCGGCGUGCCUAACACAUGCAAGUCGAACGAGAAAGUGGAGCAAUCCAUGAGUAAAGUGGCGCACGGGUGAGUAACACGUGACUAACCUACCCUUGAGUGGGGGAUAACCUAGGGAAACCUGGGCUAAUACCGCAUAAUACCUACGGGUCAAAGGAGCAAUUCGCUUUAGGAGGGGGUCGCGGCAGAUUAGUUAGUUGGCGGGGUAAGUGGCCCGCCAAGACGAUGAUCNGUAUCCGGCCUGAGAGGGCGCACGGACACACUGGAACUGAAACACGGUCCAGACUCCUACGGGAGGCAGCAGUGGGGAAUUUUGCGCAAUGGGGGAAACCCGUGACGCAGCAACGCCGCGUGGAGGAUGAAGACCCUUGGGUCGUAAACUCCUUUCGAGUCGGGACGAUAAUGACGGUACGGAAGAAGAACG